RNAcentral lists this ribosomal RNA (259 nucleotides) under uncultured bacterium. RNAcentral describes it as "partial 16S ribosomal RNA". It matches the Rfam family "Bacterial small subunit ribosomal RNA", at positions 793 to 1055 of the family's 1533-position model. The record is from RNAcentral.
GUCCACGCCGUAAACGAUGGACGCUCGUCGUCGGCGACAGACAGCCGGCGGCCAAGCGAAAGUGAUAAGCGUCCCACCUGGGGAGUACGGUCGCAAGGCUGAAACUCAAAAGGAAUUGACGGGGGCCCGCACAAGCGGUGGAGCAUGUGGUUUAAUUCGAUGAUACGCGAGGAACCUUACCCGGGCUAGAACGCAGCGGGACGGGGCCAGAGACGGCCCUUCCUUCGGGGCCGGCUGCGAGGUGCUGCAUGGUUGUCGU